CUGGGAACGUCUGGGGAGACUGCCGGUGAUAAACCGGAGGAAGGCGGGGAUGACGUCAAGUCCUCAUGGCCCUUACAUCCCGGGCUACACACGUGCUACAAUGGCAGGUACAGAGGGCUGCGAAGCCGCGAGGUAGAGCGAAUCCCAGAAAACCUGUCUCAGUCCGGAUUGAAGUCUGCAACUCGACUUCAUGAAGGCGGAAUCGCUAGUAACCGCGAAUCAGCAGGUCGCAGUGAAUACGUUCCCGGGCCUU
This 253-nucleotide ribosomal RNA is filed under the name uncultured Latescibacterota bacterium. RNAcentral's name for it is "uncultured Latescibacteria bacterium partial 16S ribosomal RNA". It matches the Rfam family "Bacterial small subunit ribosomal RNA", at positions 1131 to 1382 of the family's 1533-position model. The record is from RNAcentral. Lineage: Bacteria; Pseudomonadati; Candidatus Latescibacterota.